GUGGGAGGGGGCUUGCUCCCGAUCGCGGCGUUCAGUCAGCACCCCAUUGACUGAUACACCGUAAUCGGGAGCAAGCCCCCUCCCAC
This 86-nucleotide unclassified non-coding RNA is filed under the name Pseudomonas sp. OV546. The record is from RNAcentral. Lineage: Bacteria; Pseudomonadati; Pseudomonadota; Gammaproteobacteria; Pseudomonadales; Pseudomonadaceae.